RNAcentral lists this ribosomal RNA (588 nucleotides) under Triticum aestivum (bread wheat). RNAcentral's name for it is "partial small subunit ribosomal RNA". Lineage: Eukaryota; Viridiplantae; Streptophyta; Magnoliopsida; Poales; Poaceae. The record is from RNAcentral.
AUGACUCGGGCAUCAACUCUUGAUUUUCGGCGGAAGACACAGGGUCAGAACAACUGGUCUGGGCCGUUGCGCCUAGUAAAUGUCAUCAGAAAUAAAUUCCCUACCUACAAGAAUGCAGAUCUGCUUGAUCGGCGUCAGCGUCUUUCAGUCCGCGAGCUCGCAAUGAAAUUUGAGAAGGGCCUCAGUACUGCCACAUUAUUAUCUAAUGAGGUUAAAUGUAAACAAGUGGCUUUAUUGGAGCGAGACAUCCUUCUGAAGAAUCUAAAGAGUGUAUUGGAGUCACUGAGAGGACAAGUAGCUGGCAAAUAUAAGGAUGAAUUUGAGGAAUCAGUAUCUAUGGUGGAUAUUUUAGCAGUUCAGCUGUCCAAAAGAGAAAAUGAGUUGCUUCAGCAGAAAACCGAGGUCAUGAGAAUAGCGACUUCACUGAAACUGGCUUCUGAAGAUGCUAGGAGAAUUGUUGACGAAGAACGAACUAAUGCACGCAUGGAGAUUGAAAAUGCUAGAGCUGCUGUACAAAGAGUUCAAAAAGUACUUCAAGAGAAAGAGAACAGUUCACAAAGAAUUGGAAAGCAGGUAAAUUGUAUAUAA